This 61-nucleotide transfer RNA is filed under the name Mactra quadrangularis. Its description in RNAcentral is "tRNA-Ser". Lineage: Eukaryota; Metazoa; Mollusca; Bivalvia; Venerida; Mactridae. The record is from RNAcentral.
GGCCUUUAUAUUAGGUUAUUUUGAAAAUAGCUGAAGGGCGUUAGAAUUUGUCCAAAGGUCU